CAGGAACUGAACCCCGGCCGCCGAAGCAGAGUGCGCCAAACUUAACAACUAGACCAUGGGACCGGCCCCUUAAAUUUAUUUUUAUUGGUGUAAAUUGACCUUAUAUUGUGUAAGUUUCAGGUGUUCAUUGUAUUGAUUUGAUACAUUUACAUUUUGCAGUAUGCUUGCUACCCUAGCAUUAGCUAACACCUCUAUCAUGUCACAUAAGUAGAUUUCUUUUUUUGUGGUGAGAACAAUUAAGUUCUGGCUUAUUCAGAUUUUGAAAUAUAAUGCUGUAUAACUGAAAUUGAUAUACUAUUAUAAACCAAUAUUGCUUCAAUAAAUAAAAGAUAUCUAGUCUCUUAGGAACUUUGAAGUUUAUAAUAGAACAUUGUUGUCUAUAAUCACAAUGCUGUGCAUUAGAUCUCUAGGAUUUAUCUGGUAGUUACAAGUUUGUACCCUUAAAUAACAUAUCUCCAAUUCCACCACCCGCCAGUCUCUGGUAACCACCAUUCUGUUUGCUGUUUUUAUGAGUUUGGCUUUUUUAGAACCCACAUAUAAGUGAUAUCAUCCAGUUUUCUCAUACUGUAUCUGACUUAUCUCACUUAGUGUAACACCCUCAGGUCUGUCCAUGUUGCGGCAAAUGGCAGGAUUUCAUUCUUUCUCAUGACUCAGUGAUAUGCCAGUGUGUGUGUGUGUGUGUGUGUGUGUGUAUAAUGUCUACUUUAUCCAUUCAAGUAUUGACAGACUCUUAGGUUGUUUCCAUAUCUUUGCUAUUGUGAAUAAUGCUCCAAUAAGCAUGGGCAUGAGGAUAUCUUUUUGAUAUAUAUUUUUUCAUUUUCUUUGGCUAUAUAUCCAGAGGAGGAAUUGCUGGAUAAAACGGUAGUUCUAUUUUUAUUUUUUUAGGAAAUUUAAUACUUUUUUCCAUAGUGGCUGAACCUUUUACAUUCCCAUGACAGCGUAUGAGGGUUCCCAUAUCUCCACAUCCUUGCCAACAGUUUCUCUCUUCUCUUCUUGAUAAUAAACAUUCUGAGAGGUGUGAGAUGAUAUCUCAUUGUGGUUUUGAUUUGCAUUUCCUUGAUGAUUAACUACAUUGAGCAUCUUUUUAUGUUCCUUUUGGCCAUUGAAUGUCUUCUUUAGAAAAAAUGUCCAUUUAGUUCCACUGCCCAUUUUUAAAUCAGGCUCCUUGAUAUUUGUUAUGAAGUUGCAAGCGCUCAUUAAAUACAUUAGAUCAUAACUUCUUAUCUGAUGAAUGGAUUGGAACUAUUUUCUCCCAUUCUGUAGGCUUCUUUUCAUUUUUUUUAAUUGUUUUUUGCUGUAUAGAAGCUUUUUACUUUAAUGUAUUCCCGCUUGUUGAUUUUUGUUUCUGUUGCUUGUGCUUGUGGUGUCAUAUCAAAAAAAUCAUUGCCAAGAUCAGUGUCAAGGAGCUUUGCCUCUAUUUUUUCUUCUAAGAGUUUUAUGAGUUUAGUUCUUAUGUUAAAAUCUUUAACUCAUUUCGGGUUAAGUUUUGUGAGCAGUGUAAGUAACGGGUCUGGAGUUUUCUCUGCUUUUGUGGCUAGAUCUGCUGCACUCUUCUUGCUCCCUCUUGUGGCUGAAAUCCUAAACUAUUCUGUGUUCUCUGGUUUUUGUCGCUCACCAGGCUGGCUACUGGAAAUCUCUUUUUUGUUUUCCAGAAGGUGGCACUACUGCUCACGUUUGUGGUUUCUCCCUUUUCCAUAGGCUGUUUCCUUUUUUUCUGAGAGCACUCAGUUUACCAGAUUUUCUCUCCCUGCUACAUUCAGGAAUGUACACAAGGAGCCAGCUGCAGAUGAGGAGGAGGUGUGGAUUUAACAAUGGGAGCUUGUUGGUUCGCAUGGAUCUGGAGGGGAGAUGCUCUGUUGUGAACUGGCUUUCCAUUUCAGGAAGACUGGGCUUCAACAAAGUCUCUCUCAUUCAUGGUUGUCAUCACACUCUCCAGGCGUUAUGUGGCCAUAAUCAAGAUGGUUUUAGGAAGGUUAUUGGCUCCUUCUGGUUCUGCAUCCCAUACAAAGAUCUGUCUGCCUAUUACUGGAUGCACAGAUGAUAUCAAGCAAGUCCAUGUAAGCAGAUAGAAAUCACUCAUCUGUGGUCAUGUUUGUUCUUCUGGGACUCUAAGAUGAAAAAGAGGUGCAGCUUGUCCUCUUCCCAAUCUUUCUAGGUAUCUAUCUUGUGACCCUAAUCUGGAAUCUGGGUGUCAUCAUCCUAAUCAAGAUGGACUCACACCUGCACGCACCUAUGUACAUUUUCUCAGUUUCCUGUCAUUUAUAGACAUUUG
This 2272-nucleotide long non-coding RNA is filed under the name Equus caballus (horse). RNAcentral's name for it is "lncRNA (ENSECAG00000054168.1)". The record is from RNAcentral. Lineage: Eukaryota; Metazoa; Chordata; Mammalia; Perissodactyla; Equidae.